UGCAGCCCUCUGGACCCCGAGGUUGGACCCUACUGUGACACACCUACCAUGCGGACACUCUUCAACCUCCUCUGGCUUGCCCUGGCCUGCAGCCCUGUUCACACUACCCUGUCAAAGUCAGAUGCCAAAAAAGCCGCCUCAAAGACGCUGCUGGAGAAGAGUCAGUUUUCAGAUAAGCCGGUGCAAGACCGGGGUUUGGUGGUGACGGACCUCAAAGCUGAGAGUGUGGUUCUUGAGCAUCGCAGCUACUGCUCGGCAAAGGCCCGGGACAGACACUUUGCUGGGGAUGUACUGGGCUAUGUCACUCCAUGGAACAGCCAUGGCUACGAUGUCACCAAGGUCUUUGGGAGCAAGUUCACACAGAUCUCACCUGUCUGGCUGCAGCUGAAGAGACGUGGCCGUGAGAUGUUUGAGGUCACGGGCCUCCACGACGUGGACCAAGGGUGGAUGCGAGCUGUCAGGAAGCAUGCCAAGGGCCUGCACAUAGUGCCUCGGCUCCUGUUUGAGGACUGGACUUACGAUGAUUUCCGGAACGUCUUAGACAGUGAGGAUGAGAUAGAGGAGCUGAGCAAGACCGUGGUCCAGGUGGCAAAGAACCAGCAUUUCGAUGGCUUCGUGGUGGAGGUCUGGAACCAGCUGCUAAGCCAGAAGCGCGUGGGCCUCAUCCACAUGCUCACCCACCUGGCCGAGGCUCUGCACCAGGCCCGGCUGCUGGCCCUCCUGGUCAUCCCGCCUGCCAUCACCCCCGGGCCUGGCCCUAAUGCACCCCUGUCCUGGGUUCGAGCCUGCGUCCAGGUCCUGGACCCCAAGUCCAAGUGGCGAAGCAAAAUCCUCCUGGGGCUCAACUUCUAUGGUAUGGACUACGCGACCUCCAAGGAUGCCCGUGAGCCUGUUGUCGGGGCCAGACACUGAAGGACCACAGGCCCCGGAUGGUGUGGGACACCCAGGCCUCAGAGCACUUCUUCGAGUACAAGAA
This 976-nucleotide small RNA is filed under the name Pan troglodytes (chimpanzee). RNAcentral's name for it is "processed transcript". Lineage: Eukaryota; Metazoa; Chordata; Mammalia; Primates; Hominidae. The record is from RNAcentral.